UCGAACGGCAGCACGGGGGCAACCCUGGUGGCGAGUGGCGAACGGGUGAGUAAUAUAUCGGAACGUGCCCAGGUCGUGGGGGAUAACGUAGCGAAAGUUACGCUAAUACCGCAUACGAUCUACGGAUGAAAGCGGGGGAUCGCAAGACCUCGCGCGAUUGGAGCGGCCGAUAUCGGAUUAGGUAGUUGGUGGGGUAAAGGCUCACCAAGCCAACGAUCUAUAGCUGGUCUGAGAGAACGACCAGCCACACUGGAACUGAGACACGGUCCAGACUCC
This 276-nucleotide ribosomal RNA is filed under the name unidentified marine bacterioplankton. Its description in RNAcentral is "partial 16S ribosomal RNA". It matches the Rfam family "Bacterial small subunit ribosomal RNA", at positions 62 to 339 of the family's 1533-position model. The record is from RNAcentral.